This 393-nucleotide ribosomal RNA is filed under the name uncultured bacterium. Its description in RNAcentral is "partial 16S ribosomal RNA". It matches the Rfam family "Bacterial small subunit ribosomal RNA", at positions 523 to 918 of the family's 1533-position model. The record is from RNAcentral.
AUACGGAGGAUCCGAGCGUUAUCCGGAUUUAUUGGGUUUAAAGGGUGCGCAGGCGGGGGAUUAAGUCGGCGGUGAAAUUUUGCAGCUCAACUGUAAAAGUGCCUUCGAAACUGGUUUCCUUGAGUGGAGAUGAAGUAGGCGGAAUUUGUGGUGUAGCGGUGAAAUGCAUAGAUAUCACGAGGAACUCCGAUUGCGCAGGCAGCUUACUAAACUACUACUGACGCUCAGGCACGAAGGCGUGGGGAUCAAACAGGAUUAGAUACCCUGGUAGUCCACGCAGUAAACGAUGAUUACUAGCUGUUUGCGAUACAAUGUAAGCGGCUGAGCGAAAGCGUUAAGUAAUCCACCUGGGGAGUACGUUCGCAAGAAUGAAACUCAAAGGAAUUGGCGGGG